RNAcentral lists this long non-coding RNA (1158 nucleotides) under Olea europaea (common olive). Its description in RNAcentral is "long non-coding RNA (OEUR_LNC009651)". The record is from RNAcentral. Lineage: Eukaryota; Viridiplantae; Streptophyta; Magnoliopsida; Lamiales; Oleaceae.
UUGUCUAAUCAAAAGGUACCUUCUCUGUUUCAAUGUAUUUGGUUGGAUGAAUCAGAUUUCUGGUGUAUCUUCACUCUUUAUUAAGAGAAACAUGGUUCGGCAUUAAUUUCAGCACUUGGAGCCUGGUUAUGACCUGUAGUAAGAGAAUUUAUUUUCCUAAUGCUCAUCUGCACUCUUUAGGAUCAUCUAAUAACUGACCUUAAUGAAUUCCUAACUUAAUCUUGGAACCAUGGGAGUAUCAUUAUAUUUGGACCUCUGUACCCUAUCUCAAACUUCCUCUAAGACUUCAGUAUCUUUGCUGUGUGUUGAAGUUUCUUUAAAGUAGUGGAUUUGGAUUUGAGAAUGAACUUCAAAUCCAUGGUUCAAAAUAAAGGUAAGCUUAUGACCUAGAAUAAAGGACACCCCUUAUUCGAGGCUUCCAAAUGGAACAACUCAACGUGGUCAAUUUGGAAUUACAAGUCUUCUGUUGGAAACAUGGAUGAAACAAUCAUCAAGAGGACUCAUCUUAGGUCAGGAAAUAUCAUGACUUCAUGAGCGAGGUGGAUGUCAAUUAAUAUCAUCACGAAUAUAAAUUGGAGAAAGAAAACUCAAGAUCACAUAAAAUAGAUGUGAAGACGGCUUAGUUAGAUAUCUACUCCCGAAAUUUCAGCUUAAAUGGACACAGAUAAACCUUUUGAUUACCUCUAGGAAAGUGCUGGCCAAGACCCUUUUUUAUUACUUUCUGCCUACAGUUGUUUCAAGCUCUUUACCUCACUCUGUUGGCUGCUUACUACAAACCAUAGAAUGAACACUUUUAAGUCUUCUCGUCAAUGCUCACUUCAUUGGUAUGUAAUGCCACUAAGAAAUAAAAUCCAUUUCUUCUUCGUUUUAUUUAUGUUUACAAAUUAUAAUUCUUAAAAGCGCUUUAGCUUUUCUCUGGUUCUUAAUUUCAGAGCUUAUUCCCCCCUUUAUUUUUGUAUUUGCCCUUGUAUUGGAUGUUUCAUUCACUACUAAUUGUUAAUUUUUAGAAAGACUAAGCUCGAAAGCAAGUUAUUGUUCAUAAUUUUUUAUUUUCAUCCAUGUUUGGAUAAGAUAUUUUUUCUUACUUUUAAGUAAAAAAUAGUUAUUUUGGAAGUUCUCUUAUGUUACUGGUAAAUAAGUAACUAAUUUCUAACCUUG